CUUCCUUCGGGAAGUGGAUUAGCGGCGGACGGGUGAGUAACACGUGGGUAACCUGCCUCAAAGUGGGGGAUAGCCUUCCGAAAGGAAGAUUAAUACCGCAUAACAUAAGAGAAUCGCAUGAUUUUCUUAUCAAAGAUUUAUUGCUUUGAGAUGGACCCGCGGCGCAUUAGCUAGUUGGUAAGGUAACGGCUUACCAAGGCAACGAUGCGUAGCCGACCUGAGAGGGUGAUCGGCCACAUUGGAACUGAGACACGGUCCAGACUCCUACGGGAGGCAGCAGUGGGGAAUAUUGCGCAAUGGGGGAAACCCUGACGCAGCAACGCCGCGUGGGUGAUGAAGGUCUUCGGAUUGUAAAGCCCUGUUUUCUGGGACGAUAAUGACGGUACCAGAGGAGGAAGCCACGGCUAACUACGUGCCAGCAGCCGCGGUAAUACGUAGGUGGCGAGCGUUGUCCGGAUUUACUGGGCGUAAAGGGUGCGUAGGCGGAUGUUUAAGUGGGAUGUGAAAUCCCCGGGCUUAACCUGGGGGCUGCAUUCCAAACUGGAUAUCUAGAGUGCAGGAGAGGAAAGCGGAAUUCCUAGUGUAGCGGUGAAAUGCGUAGAGAUUAGGAAGAACACCAGUGGCGAAGGCGGCUUUCUGGACUGUAACUGACGCUGAGGCACGAAAGCGUG
This 671-nucleotide ribosomal RNA is filed under the name bacterium enrichment culture. Its description in RNAcentral is "bacterial SSU rRNA". It matches the Rfam family "Bacterial small subunit ribosomal RNA", at positions 74 to 763 of the family's 1533-position model. The record is from RNAcentral.